RNAcentral lists this ribosomal RNA (583 nucleotides) under Aspergillus niger. RNAcentral describes it as "eukaryotic LSU rRNA". The stretch from base 214 to 367 matches the Rfam family "5.8S ribosomal RNA". The record is from RNAcentral. Lineage: Eukaryota; Fungi; Ascomycota; Eurotiomycetes; Eurotiales; Aspergillaceae.
GUAGGUGAACCUGCGGAAGGAUCAUUACCGAGUGCGGGUCCUUUGGGCCCAACCUCCCAUCCGUGUCUAUUGUACCCUGUUGCUUCGGCGGGCCCGCCGCUUGUCGGCCGCCGGGGGGGCGCCUCUGCCCCCCGGGCCCGUGCCCGCCGGAGACCCCAACACGAACACUGUCUGAAAGCGUGCAGUCUGAGUUGAUUGAAUGCAAUCAGUUAAAACUUUCAACAAUGGAUCUCUUGGUUCCGGCAUCGAUGAAGAACGCAGCGAAAUGCGAUAACUAAUGUGAAUUGCAGAAUUCAGUGAAUCAUCGAGUCUUUGAACGCACAUUGCGCCCCCUGGUAUUCCGGGGGGCAUGCCUGUCCGAGCGUCAUUGCUGCCCUCAAGCCCGGCUUGUGUGUUGGGUCGCCGUCCCCCCGGAGAGGGGGACGGGCCCGAAAGGCAGCGGCGGCACCGCGUCCGAUCCUCGAGCGUAUGGGGCUUUGUCACAUGCUCUGUAGGAUUGGCCGGCGCCUGCCGACGUUUUCCAACCAUUCUUUCCAGGUUGACCUCGGAUCAGGUAGGGAUACCCGCUGAACUUAAGCAUAUC